AUUUAAGUAAUUUAAUAUAAAAUCUUGAUUUGUGGUAUCAAAAAUGUAAAAAUUUACCUUAAAUU
RNAcentral lists this transfer RNA (65 nucleotides) under Haliplus lineatocollis. RNAcentral describes it as "tRNA-His". Lineage: Eukaryota; Metazoa; Arthropoda; Insecta; Coleoptera; Haliplidae. The record is from RNAcentral.